UACAGAGGGGGCAAGCGUUGUUCGGCAUUACUGGGCGUAAAGGGCGCGUAGGCGGCCUGCUAAGUCGAACGUGAAAUCCCCGGGCUUAACCCGGGAACUGCGUCCGAUACUGGCUGGCUUGAAUCCGGGAGAGGGAUGCGGAAUUCCAGGUGUAGCGGUGAAAUGCGUAGAUAUCUGGAGGAACACCGGUGGCGAAGGCGGCAUCCUGGACCGGUAUUGACGCUGAUGCGCGAAAGCUAGGGUAGCAAACAGG
RNAcentral lists this ribosomal RNA (253 nucleotides) under uncultured bacterium. RNAcentral describes it as "partial 16S ribosomal RNA". It matches the Rfam family "Bacterial small subunit ribosomal RNA", at positions 524 to 776 of the family's 1533-position model. The record is from RNAcentral.